GGAUGGGUGGCCGAGUGGUUUAAGGCUCUGGUCUUGAAAACCAGCGUACGUGAAAGCGUACCGUGGGUUCGAAUCCCACCCCAUCCG
RNAcentral lists this transfer RNA (87 nucleotides) under Roseinatronobacter bogoriensis subsp. barguzinensis. RNAcentral's name for it is "Rhodobaca barguzinensis tRNA". It matches the Rfam family "tRNA". Rfam says of the family: Transfer RNA (tRNA) molecules are approximately 80 nucleotides in length. Their secondary structure includes four short double-helical elements and three loops (D, anti-codon, and T loops). Further hydrogen bonds mediate the characteristic L-shaped molecular structure. tRNAs have two regions of fundamental functional importance: the anti-codon, which is responsible for specific mRNA codon recognition, and the 3' end, to which the tRNAs corresponding amino acid is attached (by aminoacyl-tRNA synthetases). tRNAs cope with the degeneracy of the genetic code in two manners: having more than one tRNA (with a specific anti-codon) for a particular amino acid; and 'wobble' base-pairing, i.e. permitting non-standard base-pairing at the 3rd anti-codon position. RNAcentral also lists the same sequence under 1 other name. The record is from Rfam by way of RNAcentral. Lineage: Bacteria; Pseudomonadati; Pseudomonadota; Alphaproteobacteria; Rhodobacterales; Paracoccaceae.